GCUGGCGGCGUGCUUACACAUGCAAGUCGAGCGGAGAUUGCAUUUAUGUAAUCUUAGCGGCGGACGGGUGAGUAACGCGUAGGCAACCUGCCUUGCACAGAGGGAUAACACCGGGAAACUGGUGCUAAUACCACAUGAUAUCAUAACAAGGCAUCUUGAAAUGAUCAAAGGAUAAAUCCGGUGCAAGAUGGGCCUGCGUCCGAUUAGUUAGUUGGUGAGGUAACGGCUCACCAAGGCGACGAUCGGUAGCCGAACUGAGAGGUUGAUCGGCCACAUUGGGACUGAGACACGGCCCAGACUCCUACGGGAGGCAGCAGUGGGGAAUAUUGCGCAAUGGGGGGAACCCUGACGCAGCAACGCCGCGUGAAGGAAGAAGGCCUUCGGGUUGUAAACCUUUUUGAUUGGGGAAGAAAAAAAUGACGGUACCCAAGGAACAAGCCACGGCUAACUACGUGCCAGCAGCCGCGGUAAUACGUAGGUGGCGAGCGUUGUCCGGAAUUACUGGGUGUAAAGGGCGUGUAGGCGGGAUUGUAAGUCAGAUGUGAAAUUCCAGGGCUUAACUCUGGAGGUGCAUCUGAAACUAUAAUUCUUGAGUGCUGGAGAGGAAAGCGGAAUUCCUAGUGUAGCGGUGAAAUGCGUAGAUAUUAGGAAGAACACCAGUGGCGAAGGCGGCUUUCUGGACAGUAACUGACGCUGAGGCGCGAAAAGCGUGGGGAGCAAACCAGGAUUAGAUACCCUGGUAGUCCACGCUGUAAAC
This 757-nucleotide ribosomal RNA is filed under the name uncultured organism. RNAcentral describes it as "bacterial SSU rRNA". It matches the Rfam family "Bacterial small subunit ribosomal RNA", at positions 35 to 807 of the family's 1533-position model. The record is from RNAcentral.